CGCCCUUAGAGUUUGAUCCUGGCUCAGAGCGAACGCUGGCGGCACGCUUAACACAUGCAAGUCGCACGAAGGUUUCGGCCUUAGUGGCGGACGGGUGAGUAACGCGUAGGUAUCUAUCCAUGGGUGGGGGAUAACACUGGGAAACUGGUGCUAAUACCGCAUGACACCUGAGGGUCAAAGGCGUAAGUCGCCUGUGGAGGAGCCUGCGUUUGAUUAGCUAGUUGGUGGGGUAAAGGCCUACCAAGGCGAUGAUCAAUAGCUGGUUUGAGAGGAUGAUCAGCCACACUGGGACUGAGACACGGCCCAGACUCCUACGGGAGGCAGCAGUGGGGAAUAUUGGACAAUGGGGGCAACCCUGAUCCAGCAAUGCCGCGUGUGUGAAGAAGGUCUUCGGAUUGUAAAGCACUUUCGACGGGGACGAUGAUGACGGUACCCGUAGAAGAAGCCCCGGCUAACUUCGUGCCAGCAGCCGCGGUAAUACGAAGGGGGCUAGCGUUGCUCGGAAUGACUGGGCGUAAAGGGCGUGUAGGCGGUUUGUACAGUCAGAUGUGAAAUCCCCGGGCUUAACCUGGGAGCUGCAUUUGAUACGUGCAGACUAGAGUGUGAGAGAGGGUUGUGGAAUUCCCAGUGUAGAGGUGAAAUUCGUAGAUAUUGGGAAGAACACCGGUGGCGAAGGCGGCAACCUGGCUCAUUACUGACGCUGAGGCGCGAAAGCGUGGGGAGCAAACAGGAUUAGAUACCCUGGUAGUCCACGCUGUAAACGAUGUGUGCUAGAUGUUGGGUGACUUAGUCAUUCAGUGUCGCAGUUAACGCGUUAAGCACACCGCCUGGGGAGUACGGCCGCAAGGUUGAACUCAAAGGAAUUGACGGGGGCCC
This 876-nucleotide ribosomal RNA is filed under the name uncultured Acetobacter sp. Its description in RNAcentral is "bacterial SSU rRNA". It matches the Rfam family "Bacterial small subunit ribosomal RNA", at positions 1 to 922 of the family's 1533-position model. Lineage: Bacteria; Pseudomonadati; Pseudomonadota; Alphaproteobacteria; Acetobacterales; Acetobacteraceae. The record is from RNAcentral.